RNAcentral lists this ribosomal RNA (253 nucleotides) under uncultured bacterium. RNAcentral describes it as "partial 16S ribosomal RNA". It matches the Rfam family "Bacterial small subunit ribosomal RNA", at positions 524 to 776 of the family's 1533-position model. The record is from RNAcentral.
UACGGGGGGAGCAAGCGUUGUUCGGAUUUACUGGGCUUAAAGGGUGCGUAGGCGGCGCGGAAAGUAGGGUGUGAAAUCCCUCGGCUCAACCGAGGAAUUGCGCCCUAAACUACCGUGCUCGAGGGAGAUAGAGGUGAGCGGAACUUAGGGUGGAGCGGUGAAAUGCGUUGAUAUCCUAAGGAACACCGGUGGCGAAAGCGGCUCACUGGAUCUCUUCUGACGCUGAGGCACGAAAGCUAGGGUAGCGAACGGG